AAGGCUGCUGUGAUGAGUGCAUAGUUCAGCAGAUGACCUGUGACGAUCAGUUACUGUCUUUCGCCAAUCUCUGAUGCAGCCUC
Molecule: small nucleolar RNA, 83 nt
Organism: Serinus canaria (Common canary)
Lineage: Eukaryota; Metazoa; Chordata; Aves; Passeriformes; Fringillidae
Source: Ensembl